UGUCCUCUCCUGGAGAAGCAUGUGCCUUUGGAAAGCACACUAGACCAAAAUCAGAACUCAGGAGAAAGGAGAUGGACGUGAAGAUGUACAGCCAAGAAGAAAGAAAGGACUGUGUGUACCAAGAGGUCACCGAGCCCCAGGAUGAUGACUACCUUUAUUGUGAGCAGUGUCAGAACUUCUUCAUCGAC
Long non-coding RNA from Artibeus jamaicensis (Jamaican fruit-eating bat), 188 nucleotides. RefSeq lists it as uncharacterized. Lineage: Eukaryota; Metazoa; Chordata; Mammalia; Chiroptera; Phyllostomidae. The record is from RefSeq and is a predicted model, not a curated record. The transcript is spliced from 3 exons.